Molecule: ribosomal RNA, 379 nt
Filed under: Limosilactobacillus reuteri
Lineage: Bacteria; Bacillati; Bacillota; Bacilli; Lactobacillales; Lactobacillaceae
Description: bacterial SSU rRNA
Rfam family: Bacterial small subunit ribosomal RNA
Source: RNAcentral
CGGAGGAAGGUGGGGACGACGUCAGAUCAUCAUGCCCCUUAUGACCUGGGCUACACACGUGCUACAAUGGACGGUACAACGAGUCGCAAGCUCGCGAGAGUAAGCUAAUCUCUUAAAGCCGUUCUCAGUUCGGACUGUAGGCUGCAACUCGCCUACACGAAGUCGGAAUCGCUAGUAAUCGCGGAUCAGCAUGCCGCGGUGAAUACGUUCCCGGGCCUUGUACACACCGCCCGUCACACCAUGGGAGUUUGUAACGCCCAAAGUCGGUGGCCUAACCAUUAUGGAGGGAGCCGCCUAAGGCGGGACAGAUGACUGGGGUGAAGUCGUAACAAGGUAGCCGUAGGAGAACCUGCGGCUGGAUCACCUCCUUUCUAAGGAA